This 158-nucleotide ribosomal RNA is filed under the name uncultured bacterium. RNAcentral describes it as "partial 16S ribosomal RNA". The record is from RNAcentral.
GAGCAGUCGGGAAUUAUUCUUAAGGGAUCACCUACCCUACGAAAGCCGCGUGGAGGAAGACGGUUUAUUCCCUUGUAAAGCACGUUUACCUCCCAUAACAGCCGUCAUUCCUGAACGAUUGGAAUACCAUGUAAGAGGAAGCCCCGGCUAACUCCGCG